RNAcentral lists this unclassified non-coding RNA (205 nucleotides) under Hevea brasiliensis (rubber tree). Lineage: Eukaryota; Viridiplantae; Streptophyta; Magnoliopsida; Malpighiales; Euphorbiaceae. The record is from RNAcentral.
GAAAUCACAAGUGAAACUGCUACAGCGGCUUUAAGGAGGAGCGUCCACCUGUUCUCAGCCUUGCAGGCCGGUGAUGGCCAUUGGUGUGCAGAAAAUGGAGGGCUACUGUUCUUUUUGCCUCCUUUGGUUUUUUCUCUGUACAUUACAGGACAUCUUAAUGAUGUGUUUUCUGCAGAGCAUCGGAAAGAGAUGUUGCGUUACAUAU